GGGGUCUGCAACUCGACCCCAUGAAGUCGGAGUCGCUAGUAAUCGCAGAUCAGCAACGCUGCGGUGAAUACGUUCCUGGGCCUUGUACACACCGCCCGUCACGUCAUGAAAGUUGGCAACGCCUGAAGUCGAUGGGCUAACCAGUUUACUGGGGGCAGUCGCCGAAGGUGGGGCUAGCGAUUGGGACGAAGUCGUAACAAGGUAGCUGUAGCGGAAGCUGUGGCUGGAUCACCUCCUUUCUAGGGAG
This 247-nucleotide ribosomal RNA is filed under the name Dehalococcoidales bacterium. Its description in RNAcentral is "partial 16S ribosomal RNA". It matches the Rfam family "Bacterial small subunit ribosomal RNA", at positions 1300 to 1533 of the family's 1533-position model. The record is from RNAcentral. Lineage: Bacteria; Bacillati; Chloroflexota; Dehalococcoidia; Dehalococcoidales.